RNAcentral lists this ribosomal RNA (253 nucleotides) under uncultured bacterium. Its description in RNAcentral is "partial 16S ribosomal RNA". It matches the Rfam family "Bacterial small subunit ribosomal RNA", at positions 524 to 776 of the family's 1533-position model. The record is from RNAcentral.
GACGGAGGGGGUAAGCGUUAUCCGGAAUUAUUGGGCGUAAAGGGUACGUAGGCGGCGGGUCAAGUCUGUGGUCAAAGGCCACAGCUCAACUGUGGGAAGGCCCUGGAAACUGACCGGAUAGAGUGAGGUAGGGGUUGAGGGAAUUCCCUGUGUAGCGGUGAAAUGCGUAGAGAUCGGGAAGAACACGUGAGGCGGAAGCGCGCAACUGGGCCUCAACUGACGAUGAGGUACGAAAGCUAGGGGAGCGAAUGGG